RNAcentral lists this ribosomal RNA (406 nucleotides) under uncultured bacterium. RNAcentral describes it as "partial 16S ribosomal RNA". It matches the Rfam family "Bacterial small subunit ribosomal RNA", at positions 30 to 526 of the family's 1533-position model. The record is from RNAcentral.
AUUGAACGCUGGCGGCAGGCCUAACACAUGCAAGUCGAACGAGUGGCGGACGGGUGAGUAAUGUCUGGGAAACUGCCUGAUGGAGGGGGAUAACUACUGGAAACGGUAGCUAAUACCGCAUACCAUCAGAUGUGCCCAGAUGGGAUUAGCUAGUGGGUGGGGUAACCGCUCACCAAGGCGACGGUCCCUACCUGGUCUGAGAGGAUGAACAGCCAAACGGGAACUGAGAAACGGGCCAGACUGCUACGGGAGGCAGCAGUGGGGAAUAUUGCACAAUGGGCGCAAGCCUGAUGCAGCCAUGCCGCGUGUAUGAAGAAGGCCUUCGGGUUGUAAAGUACUUUCAGCGUGGAGGCGUUACCCGCAGAAGAAGCACCGGCUAACUCCGUGCCAGCAGCCGCGGUAAUAC